AAUGAAUAUAACAUGGGCUUAUUUAUAAUAAUAGCUCUAUAACAUAGAUGAACAAAAAAGUCUGAAGACUAUAAAAAAAUAACUACAACAAUCCAAAAAUAAAACCCUAAUAAAACUAACUAAUACAAAACUAAUAAUAUUGGUGCUUGAAUUGGAACUCAGCCUUGAUAUUUUGUAUAGUGAUAUUCAUCCGGGUUUGCACCAUCUAGAACAAAACAUCGAUGCUUUUUGUUUUUGUUUCAACUAGUAUCCAUCUCACUUUUUGUUGAUAUAAUAUUCUCUCUUCAAAUAUUUGUGUGACAAUCAUUUCUUGGCAUAUGUCGAGUGACUCGAUCAACCAUCAAUCAUUGACAGCUAAAAUUUUCAUAAUAGAUCUAUUAUUAUCAAACAAAAACUUCAUCUUCAUCUUCAUCUUUAACUGACUUCGUUCCUUCAUGUGUGACCUUUGGUCUAUCUUACUCAAACAACUAUUUCAUUGUGUAACUGAAAUUUUGUUUACUAAUUUUGACAUGAAAUCUUUGCAUUAAUUGAAAUUCCAAUUCUUAAGGAAAAAUAACUGAAAUUUGAUUAAAUAAGUUCUGAUACAAAAAUUUCAAGUUAAAUUUUAAACUUAGAUUUCGGUGUCAAAUGUCAUAUUAUUUCAUAUUUCACUAAGGUGUGCUACUACUAUAUAAUCACUACUAGAAAAUGCAAAAUAAAUUUGAAAUAUAACAACCAAUAAGUCAUAUAUAGAUUAAACGGAUUACAUUAUUGAUGGCCAUAUUAUUUAAGCUAACAUUUCCUUGAAAAAAAUGGAAUUAAAAAGCAAUUAAAGCCAAUUUUAAGAUGCAUAUUGGCUUUGAGAGUUAGUGACUCGAGAAGCAUAGUAUUUGGCAAUGAAAUCAGAUGCUUUCCUAUCAAUAUCUGGCUCACCAACCCAACAUCCUAUAUCUUCAUCACUUGUAAAUAUCCUUCCUCCUCUGCCACUACCUUCCAAUUGCUCAUAUCUCAUUUUACUUGAAAAACAAGAUUUGAAUAAGCUUAUAAAUGAGUUAGAAGAUGAUUUUUUUGCACCCAUAUUGAGUCUAAACAAUAAGUCACUAACACACUUCAAUAGCUCCUACGUGUUUGAAGGAUAUAGAAACAAAUACUUGAGCUAUAAGUUUCAGUGUUGUGUGUUUGUAUUUAUAGAGUGGGAAGCACAUGGUUACAAAAGAUUAGUAUAUUGUUUCAUAUCAAAAGUAAGGAUUUUG
Molecule: long non-coding RNA, 1232 nt
Filed under: Cicer arietinum (chickpea)
Lineage: Eukaryota; Viridiplantae; Streptophyta; Magnoliopsida; Fabales; Fabaceae
Description: long non-coding RNA (CARI_LNC000194)
Source: RNAcentral